This is a long non-coding RNA of Rhinichthys klamathensis goyatoka, 267 nucleotides long. RefSeq lists it as uncharacterized. NCBI's taxonomy places the organism in Eukaryota, Metazoa, Chordata, Actinopteri, Cypriniformes, Leuciscidae. The transcript is spliced from 3 exons. The record is from RefSeq and is a predicted model, not a curated record.
UUUUUGACAGUCAGAAGAAAAGGAUAAACAGAAGAUCUGCUAUAAAUGAGAACGAUGAUCCCAGUGCAGGCUCAUAUGCAGCUCUUGGCCUCAGGACUAGAUCACAUGACCUCUACGACACACUCACGUCUGUCCAUCCCAGUCCUGCUGUUCACCAGUCGGGCUCUUCUGAAUAUGAGAAUCUGUCUCUUCAGUAACACUUCAAGUCUUCUCAAGAAGAAACUCUCAUCACUACUCAACAGAUACUUACAGUCCUUACAUUCAGUC